AUUCCAACAGAAAACGCGUGCAUCUCCCGGCGGCGGUGCCAUCCUCGUCCAGGCGCCGGCGUGAACGAGAUACGACGUGUGCUUCUCCUGGCGGCGGUGGCGAGUUUCCCUGGGUAGCUACUCCAUUCUGCCGUCGGGCAAGCCGAGGGUAAAUAGGACGUGUCGGCCGUGGUGACGAGCUGGCUUUCGAUCCGCUCGUGCAAUCUGUUGCUGGAGGUGUUGGCCGUGGUGAGUGGUGACGACUGACGAGCUGCCCUUCGAUCUGCUGGUGCAUCUGUUGUCCGGCAAAUCCACGUUCAACAGGUGUAGACGUUUGUCAUCUGCUCACCCUGCUCGGCGGACGUACAGUUCUAUCUUCGACUAGGAGAAGACGAGCACCAGCACCAGCACCAGCAGGCAGCCUGGUUGGUGAUCUCCGCUUGCAUCUAGUCAUCUGUAGCGCAAUUGUAGGCGCGUAGCGCGUAUCAUCCAGGUGGUCAAAUUCCAAUUUUCCAAUUCGCAAUCACUUGGUACCUUUUCCAUAUAAUAGUAUAUAUCACUUCCAACUUUUUGUAUAUUAUAGUAUCACUUGAUACACGUUGCCUCUGAAUCUUCCAGGACGUAUCCCACCAUUCACUCAUGCAUGUUCUGCGUCCUGGCUUCUUGUUUAUCUAAAGAAGCCAUUCUAGUUGUUGAUCUAAUACAUCCUUAGGCGCUAAUGAUUUAUUUCGUUUGAGAAGAUGGGAAAAUAACCGAGAGCGCGCCGUGUAUGCUUCACGGUUCAGGCAGCUCAAGCUCCAAAUCGGCAUGUUUGAUAACUUCCUGAUUCAGAUCAGAAAAUUUGCAGUUUGGAAGAUUUGCUGUUUUUAAUCAUGUAACAUGGUUUUUUAUUUGAUCAAUAUAUGUUGUGAGAAUAUAUGCCACGACGAAAUAUGGUUGGUAGCAGUUUAUUUUCAUAUGUAUUUGGAUGUACUCCCCUAAAAGGAUUACAAGAGGUAUCUGCACGUACUUUUUGGAUGAUAAAGAGGAAGUAUGGGAUCAUACUUCAUGAAAUAAAAAAAUGAUAUGAGUUGUAUAUGCAUAUUUUCAGAAGGAUUCAGAGGACGUAUUGGCUCAUACUUCUGCAAGAUUCUAACUUAGUAUGUGUUCAUACUCUCUGAAUAUAA
Setaria italica (foxtail millet) is the source of this 1145-nucleotide long non-coding RNA. RefSeq lists it as uncharacterized. The record is from RefSeq and is a predicted model, not a curated record. Lineage: Eukaryota; Viridiplantae; Streptophyta; Magnoliopsida; Poales; Poaceae. The transcript is spliced from 4 exons.